Long non-coding RNA from Ornithodoros turicata, 431 nucleotides. RefSeq lists it as uncharacterized. The record is from RefSeq and is a predicted model, not a curated record. The transcript has 5 exons. NCBI's taxonomy places the organism in Eukaryota, Metazoa, Arthropoda, Arachnida, Ixodida, Argasidae.
UUGUAUUAGCUCAUUCGGCCCUUCAACGCCCAAAUUGCUAGGCACGACAAUAAAAGCUCACUCAUCGUGUUUGGGUCCCUGUGCUUAGUGUUGAUAAGCGGAAUACUGAUAUGGACUGUGUUGUUGCCGAAACUGAAGAAAACAGGUUUAGGUAACGAAGACGCGGAAUUAGAUCCCGAAACUGCACUCCAUCCGGACGUAACUGAUCCAUACUUCAAUAUUUCAUUGCCUGAGGAACCCAAUCUUAACACGUCGUCGAAGGUUGCAAGGAGCAAGGCGAUUUUCAGAACCAAAAGCCUCCUCAGAGUUCCGCUGCAUAAUACACACGUUUUUACGAACGACAAGCUGGAGGAGAAGGCAACCACGUACAAAACGCAUUCCGAAGGCACACUCUAGAGAUAGCCGUCGCAUCACCCUGAAUAAAUAAUAGU